UAGAGUUUGAUUCCCUGCUCAGGACGAACGCUGGCGGCGUGCCUAAUACAUGCAAGUCGAGCGGACUUGUAGGAGCUUGCUCCUGCAGGUUAGCGGCGGACGGGUGAGUAACACGUGGGCAACCUACCUAUAAGACUGGGAUAACUUCGGGAAACCGGAGCUAAUACCGGAUGACAUAAAGGAACUCCUGUUCCUUUAUUGAAAGAUGGCUUCGGCUAUCACUUACAGAUGGGCCCGCGGCGCAUUAGCUAGUUGGUGAGGUAACGGCUCACCAAGGCGACGAUGCGUAGCCGACCUGAGAGGGUGAUCGGCCACACUGGGACUGAGACACGGCCCAGACUCCUACGGGAGGCAGCAGUAGGGAAUCUUCCGCAAUGGACGAAAGUCUGACGGAGCAACGCCGCGUGAACGAUGAAGGCCUUCGGGUCGUAAAGUUCUGUUGUUAGGGAAGAACAAGUGCUAGUUAAAUAAGCUGCACCUGACGGACCACCAAAGC
This 496-nucleotide ribosomal RNA is filed under the name Bacillus sp. NHTS-18. Its description in RNAcentral is "bacterial SSU rRNA". It matches the Rfam family "Bacterial small subunit ribosomal RNA", at positions 1 to 497 of the family's 1533-position model. The record is from RNAcentral. Lineage: Bacteria; Bacillati; Bacillota; Bacilli; Caryophanales; Bacillaceae.